Molecule: ribosomal RNA, 484 nt
Filed under: uncultured bacterium
Lineage: Bacteria
Description: partial 16S ribosomal RNA
Rfam family: Bacterial small subunit ribosomal RNA
Source: RNAcentral
AUUGAGCGCUGGCGGCAGGCCUAACACAUGCAAGUCGAGCGGAUGAAGGGAGCUUGCUCCUGGAUUCAGCGGCGGACGGGUGAGUAAUGCCUAGGAAUCUGCCUGGUAGUGGGGGAUAACGUCCGGAAACGGGCGCUAAUACCGCAUACGUCCUGAGGGAGAAAGUGGGGGAUCUUCGGACCUCACGCUAUCAGAUGAGCCUAGGUCGGAUUAGCUAGUUGGUGGGGUAAAGGCCUACCAAGGCGACGAUCCGUAACUGGUCUGAGAGGAUGAUCAGUCACACUGGAACUGAGACACGGUCCAGACUCCUACGGGAGGCAGCAGUGGGGAAUAUUAGACAAUGGGCGAAAGCCUGAUCCAGCCAUGCCGCGUGUGUGAAGAAGGUCUUCGGAUUGUAAAGCACUUUAAGUUGGGAGGAAGGGCAGUAAGUUAAUACCUUGCUGUUUUGACGUUACCAACAGAAUAAGCACCGGCUAACUUCGUG